Molecule: ribosomal RNA, 304 nt
Filed under: uncultured bacterium
Lineage: Bacteria
Description: partial 16S ribosomal RNA
Rfam family: Bacterial small subunit ribosomal RNA
Source: RNAcentral
CAGCAGUCGCCGCGGUAAUACGAAGGGGGCUAGCGUUGCUCGGAAUUACUGGGCGUAAAGGGCGCGUAGGCGGACAGUUCAGUCAGGGGUGAAAGCCCGGGGCUCAACCUCGGAAUUGCCUUUGAUACUGGCUGUCUUGAGUACGGGAGAGGUGCGUGGAACUCCGAGUGUAGAGGUGAAAUUCGUAGAUAUUCGGAAGAACACCAGUGGCGAAGGCGACAAACUGGCCCGUUACUGACGCUGAUGCGCGAAAGCGUGGGGAGCAAACAGGAUUAGAUACCCCUGUAGUCCCUGUCUCUUAUAC